CCUACGGGAGGCAGCAGUGGGGAAUAUUGCACAAUGGGGGAAACCCUGAUGCAGCGACGCCGCGUGAGUGAAGAAGUAUUUCGGUACGUAAAGCUCUAUCAGCAGGGAAGAAAAUGACGGUACCUGACUAAGAAGCCCCGGCUAACUACGUGCCAGCAGCCGCGGUAAUACGUAGGGGGCAAGCGUUAUCCGGAUUUACUGGGUGUAAAGGGAGCGUAGACGGCAGCGCAAGUCUGGAGUGAAAUCCCAUGGCUUAACCAUGGAACUGCUUUGGAACCUGUGCAGCUAGAGUGCAGGAGAGGUAAGCGGAAUUCCUAGUGUAGCGGUGAAAUGCGUAGAUAUUAGGAGGAACACCAGUGGCGAAGGCGGCUUACUGGACUGUAACUGACGUUGAGGCUCGAAAGCGUGGGGAGCAAACAGGAUUAGAUACCCCAGUAGUC
RNAcentral lists this ribosomal RNA (440 nucleotides) under uncultured bacterium. RNAcentral's name for it is "partial 16S ribosomal RNA". It matches the Rfam family "Bacterial small subunit ribosomal RNA", at positions 338 to 795 of the family's 1533-position model. The record is from RNAcentral.